This 258-nucleotide ribosomal RNA is filed under the name uncultured bacterium. RNAcentral's name for it is "partial 16S ribosomal RNA". It matches the Rfam family "Bacterial small subunit ribosomal RNA", at positions 15 to 263 of the family's 1533-position model. The record is from RNAcentral.
GAUCAUGGCUCAGGAUGAACGCUAGCUACAGGCUUAACACAUGCAAGUCGAGGGGCAUCAGAAAGAAAGCUUGCUUUCUUUGCUGGCGACCGGCGCACGGGUGAGUAACACGUAUCCAACCUGCCCUUUACUCGGGGAUAGCCUUUCGAAAGAAAGAUUAAUACCCGAUGGGAUAAUGAUUCCGCAUGGUUUCAUUAUUAAAGGAUUCCGGUAAAGGAUGGGGAUGCGUUCCAUUAGGUUGUUGGUGAGGUAAACGGG